Long non-coding RNA from Chenopodium quinoa (quinoa), 991 nucleotides. RefSeq lists it as uncharacterized. Lineage: Eukaryota; Viridiplantae; Streptophyta; Magnoliopsida; Caryophyllales; Amaranthaceae. The transcript has 2 exons. The record is from RefSeq and is a predicted model, not a curated record.
UACAAAAUGAAAGAAAAUGAGAUUAAAUGUCUUUGAAAUUAAAGAAGGAAGAAAAAGAAAAUAGAAUGAAGUUUUUGAAAUUGAAUUUUGGACUAGUAAAAUUGUUGCGAUACAACUGUACUACAUACAGUGCAAUGUACAUUAGACAUUUGAAGGUGGUGAUUUUUUCAUGAGCAACUUUUCAGGAUUAUUUCAUCUUUUUAUUUUUCUUUUGAUUGAUUUGGCACAUAUGCAAAAGGGUAAGUUAGGAUAUGUUGUGUGUGCGCUCUUCUUUUGAGUUUUGCCUAAACAAGAUAAAGGUUAUUUUACAAGUCACAUUUCUUUGUAUAUUUUGUGUAUGGGCUGUAACCUGUAACACACAGUAAGGUAAUUUUGCCAUUUCUGUUGGUUAUUACGGUUGAAAUUGGAAAAUGGUGUAAGAUACAAAAUGAAAGAAAAUGAGCUUAAAUAUUUAAUGAUUAAAUGUAAGACAAAAUGAUACAACCGUUUGAUUUGUAAUUUAAUUAGCACAUUUUCUGGUUGUACACUUUAUUUUUUUUUUGUUGGUUUUGAUAUGUAUGAGUUCUUACUUGAGUUUGUUAUCAAAAAUGUAGUGUCCUUGCCAGAGCAACGGAGUUGAUUGUGGCUAUUAUGUGAUGCGAUAUAUGAAAGAGAUUAUCUCACACAAACGCACCAAGAUUCCCGAAAGUUAUUUUGCAGGAUGCCAGUUUUCCCAUUACGAUGAAACUCAACUUGAUGAUGUUAGACUUGAGUGGGUGCGUUACGUGUUUCAACAUAUCUAGUCUAAAAGAGUUGUUAUAAGUAAAUCACUCUUAUUUUCCCAAAGUUUGAGUUUCGAUGCAAAAAAGUACUAUACAUCUUGGGAAAAUAUUUUUUGUAAAGGAACAUUUUGUAAAGGUGAUGAAUAAUUGUGUUGGGAAAAUAUUUUUUUGUAAAGGAACAUUUUGUAGAGGUGAUGAUUUUGUAAAGGAACAUUUUUCUUUUUUGUAAA